This 395-nucleotide ribosomal RNA is filed under the name uncultured bacterium. RNAcentral's name for it is "partial 16S ribosomal RNA". It matches the Rfam family "Bacterial small subunit ribosomal RNA", at positions 338 to 730 of the family's 1533-position model. The record is from RNAcentral.
CCUACGGGAGGCAGCAGUGAGGAAUAUUGGUCAAUGGGCGUAAGCCUGAACCAGCCAAGUCGCGUGAGGGAUGACGGUUCUAUGGAUCGUAAACCUCUUUUAUAAGGGAGUAAUGUGCUGGACGUGUCCCGUUUUGUAUGUACCUUAUGAAUAAGGAUUGGCUAACUCCGUGCCAGAGGCCGCGGGAAUAAGGGGGGUUCGAGCGUUUACCGGAUUUUGUUGGGUUAAAGGGUGUCGUGGAGGGAUUUUAAGUCAGGGGGGAAAUUUUGGGGCUCCAACAUAGUAGUGCCGUUGAAACUGGGGGGCUUGAGUAGGUGUGAGGAAUGCGGAAUGCGUGGUGUAGCGGUGAAAUGCUUAGAUAUCACGCAGAACCCCGAUUGCGAAGGCAGCCUGCC